Molecule: small nucleolar RNA, 134 nt
Organism: Clarias gariepinus (North African catfish)
Lineage: Eukaryota; Metazoa; Chordata; Actinopteri; Siluriformes; Clariidae
Product: small nucleolar RNA SNORA68
Exons: 1
Source: RefSeq, a predicted model, not a curated record
CCUGCACACAAACCCAAAGGUCAUCAAUUCGACACGUGUGAUGACCUACGCUACAUGUGCGCAAAGAAACGGCGGCCUUGUCGCCUUUUACCGGCUCCGUGUGCCAGUAGGAGUAAAUUCAAGGUCCGACAUUC